AGAUGUGAGGGCGAUCCGGCUGUGACAUGUCACCCCACUGAUCGCCAGGGUUGAUUUCGGCUGAUCUGGCUGGCUAGGCGGGUGUCCCCUUCUUCCCUCACCACUCCAAGUGCGUCCCUGCUGAAGCUGCGCGCUCAGUCAGAAGAGGACGGCCUUCCCCAAUAGAGACGGACCGGCCAUUGGUCGAGGGUAUAUGAAUAGCUGCACUCCUUUGCUAGAACCUCCAAACAAGCUCUCAAAAAGCAAAACAAAGUAUACCUCAGGUAUCUGUGAAAUAUCAGUCUUGUAGUCAGUGCAAAAUACAACUCACCUAAAAAGGCUGCCAUAUCUUACUCUAGAAAUUGUUU
Molecule: unclassified non-coding RNA, 347 nt
Organism: Erinaceus europaeus (western European hedgehog)
Lineage: Eukaryota; Metazoa; Chordata; Mammalia; Eulipotyphla; Erinaceidae
Gene: 7SK
Rfam family: 7SK RNA
About the family: 7SK was discovered as an abundant small nuclear RNA in the mid-70s but a possible function has only recently been suggested. Two independent studies have found that 7SK RNA binds the CDK9/cyclin T complex (known as elongation factor P-TEFb). P-TEFb activates transcription by phosphorylating the C-terminal domain of RNA polymerase II.
Source: Ensembl